Molecule: non-coding RNA, 45 nt
Organism: Motiliproteus sp. MSK22-1
Lineage: Bacteria; Pseudomonadati; Pseudomonadota; Gammaproteobacteria; Oceanospirillales; Oceanospirillaceae
Source: Rfam
GAUCAGGUUUCACUUGAAACCACCUUUAGUGACAAACAGAUCUAU